UACAGAGGUCUCAAGCGUUGUUCGGAUUCAUUGGGCGUAAAGGGUGCGUAGGCGGCGCGGUAAGUCGGGUGUGAAAUCUUGGAGCUUAACUCCGAAACUGCAUUCGAUACUGCCGUGCUUGAGGACUGGAGAGGAGACUGGAAUUUACGGUGUAGCGGUGAAAUGCGUAGAUAUCGUAAGGAAGACCAGUGGCGAAGGCGGCCCCCUGGACCGGUACUGACGCUGAGGCGCGAAAGCGUGGGGAGCAAACAGG
Molecule: ribosomal RNA, 253 nt
Filed under: uncultured bacterium
Lineage: Bacteria
Description: partial 16S ribosomal RNA
Rfam family: Bacterial small subunit ribosomal RNA
Source: RNAcentral